This 19-nucleotide microRNA is filed under the name Tribolium castaneum (red flour beetle). RNAcentral's name for it is "tca-miR-3830-5p". Lineage: Eukaryota; Metazoa; Arthropoda; Insecta; Coleoptera; Tenebrionidae. The record is from miRBase by way of RNAcentral.
CUCGGUGCGGCACCGGCAU